AUUGAACGCUGGCGGCAUGCCUAACACAUGCAAGUCGAACGGUAACGCGGAGAGCUUGCUCUCUGGCGACGAGUGGCGGACGGGUGAGUAAUACUUGGGAAUCUGCCCAGUAGUGGGGGACAACAUUCGGAAACGGAUGCUAAUACCGCAUACGCACUACGGUGGAAAGUGGGGGAUCUUCGGACCUCACGCUAUUGGAUGAGCCCAAGUCGGAUUAGCUUGUAGGUAGGGUAACGGCCUACCUAGGCGACGAUCCGUAGCUGGUCUGAGAGGACGAUCAGCCACACUGGGACUGAGACACGGCCCAGACUCCUACGGGAGGCAGCAGUGGGGAAUAUUGGACAAUGGGCGCAAGCCUGAUCCAGCAAUGCCGCGUGUGUGAAGAAGGCCUGCGGGUUGUAAAGCACUUUCAGUAGAGAAGAAAAGCCUAGGGUUAAUACCCCUGAGUCUUGACGUAACCUACAGAAGAAGCACCGGCUAACUCCGUG
RNAcentral lists this ribosomal RNA (488 nucleotides) under uncultured bacterium. RNAcentral's name for it is "bacterial SSU rRNA". It matches the Rfam family "Bacterial small subunit ribosomal RNA", at positions 30 to 507 of the family's 1533-position model. The record is from RNAcentral.